ACUCUAGAGAUAGAGUCUUCCCCUUCGGGGGACAAAGUGACAGGUGGUGCAUGGUUGUCGUCAGCUCGUGUCGUGAGAUGUUGGGUUAAGUCCCGCAACGAGCGCAACCCUUAAGCUUAGUUGCCAGCAUUAAGUUGGGCACUCUAAGUUGACUGCCGGUGACAAACCGGAGGAAGGUGGGGAUGACGUCAAAUCAUCAUGCCCCUUAUGAUUUGGGCUACACACGUGCUACAAUGGACAAUACAAAGGGCAGCUAAACCGCGAGGUCAUGCAAAUCCCAUAAAGUUGUUCUCAGUUCGGAUUGUAGUCUGCAACUCGACUACAUGAAGCUGGAAUCGCUAGUAAUCGUAGAUCAGCAUGCUACGGUGAAUACGUUCCCGGGUCUUGUACACACCGCCCGUCACACCACGAGAGUCUGUAACACCCGAAGCCGGUGGAGUAACCAUUUAUGGAGCUAGCCGUCGAAGGUGGGACAAAUGAUUGGGGUGAAGUCGUAACAAGGUAGCCGUAUCGGAAGG
Molecule: ribosomal RNA, 518 nt
Filed under: uncultured bacterium
Lineage: Bacteria
Description: bacterial SSU rRNA
Rfam family: Bacterial small subunit ribosomal RNA
Source: RNAcentral